CGUAUAGUCUAUAAGUCUAUUUUUUAUAACUUACGAAACUGCAGCCGACCUUUCACUGCUGGAGAAAAAAGUAACGUUACUGUUGCAAAUCCGCAUAUCACGUAAACUCUGUGAUUAAGUUAUUUAAUUUCCUUUUGUGUUUCCCGUAAGAAAGAACUUGAAGAAAGUUUCUUUUUCAUCGCGAGUUAUAACGGCACUUCCGUGUUCAGGAAGAAAGUGGUGCUCGUUCUUCUUUAUUUGCUCUCUUAUUUACCACACAGUUUUCCAAACUUGGACAUACCCGAAAGUGCGCAAGAAUAACAGGGAUGCUGACUUAUUUCUGUCUUCUUCCCGGAUGCAGCAGAUCACGACUGCAACAACAAUCAACAGAGAUCCGGCAGCAGCAGAACAGAUCAACACUAUCAGAGACACGGACACUGGAGGAG
Long non-coding RNA from Pimephales promelas (fathead minnow), 425 nucleotides. RefSeq lists it as uncharacterized. NCBI's taxonomy places the organism in Eukaryota, Metazoa, Chordata, Actinopteri, Cypriniformes, Leuciscidae. The record is from RefSeq and is a predicted model, not a curated record.